UGGGUCUGUAGCCAGCAAAUUACUUCAUCAUCUAGAUUAUCCAUUCAGUUGAUCCUAAUUAGCAAGGAUAACAAGAAUCGUCCGCACUAAAGUCCCCUGCAGCGUGACCAUGUCGAGACCCCGGAAGAGGCUGGCUGGGACUUCUGGUUCAGGCACAUUCUGAUUGUCUUGGGAUGAAAUCGAAUCAUCACCAUUUUUCUACAAUGUCCUGAAUGAACUGUUUCUUUCAACUUUUAUUGGCACCUUCAAGGAGCAGAAAGGAGAUGGGCCAGGAGCCACAGUGAGCAAGAAGGAAAGACACAAGGGACUAUCAGGAAAACGCACCAAAACUGAGAACUCAGGUGAGGCAUUAGCUAAAGUGGAGGACUCCAACCCUC
This 377-nucleotide long non-coding RNA is filed under the name Homo sapiens (human). RNAcentral describes it as "non-protein coding lnc-NCAPD3-3:1". The record is from RNAcentral. Lineage: Eukaryota; Metazoa; Chordata; Mammalia; Primates; Hominidae.